AUUGAACGCUGGCGGCAGGCCUAACACAUGCAAGUCGAGCGGAUGAAGGGAGCUUGCUCCUGGAUUCAGCGGCGGACGGGUGAGUAAUGCCUAGGAAUCUGCCUGGUAGUGGGGGAUAACGUCCGGAAACGGGCGCUAAUACCGCAUACGUCCUGAGGGAGAAAGUGGGGGAUCUUCGAACCUCACGCUUUCAGAUGAGCCUAGGUCGGAUUAGCUAGUUGGUGGGGUAAAGGCCUACCAAGGCGACGAUCCGUAACUGGUCUGAGAGGAUGAUCAGUCACACUGGAACUGAGACACGGUCCAGACUCCUACGGGAGGCAGCAGUGGGGAAUAUUGGACAAUGGGCGAAAGCCUGAUCCAGCCAUGCCGCGUGUGUGAAGAAGGUCUUCGGAUUGUAAAGCACUUUAAGUUGGGAGGAAGGGCAGUAAGUUAAUACCUUGCUGUUUUGACGUUACCAACAGAAUAAGCACCGGCUAACUUCGUG
RNAcentral lists this ribosomal RNA (484 nucleotides) under uncultured bacterium. RNAcentral describes it as "partial 16S ribosomal RNA". It matches the Rfam family "Bacterial small subunit ribosomal RNA", at positions 30 to 507 of the family's 1533-position model. The record is from RNAcentral.